GGGGUUGUGGCUCAGAGGUAGAGAGUUUGCCUCCCUAGUAAAGCACUGGGUUCAAUCCUCAGCACCACA
RNAcentral lists this transfer RNA (69 nucleotides) under Marmota monax (woodchuck). Its description in RNAcentral is "tRNA.Gly". Lineage: Eukaryota; Metazoa; Chordata; Mammalia; Rodentia; Sciuridae. The record is from RNAcentral.